This 252-nucleotide ribosomal RNA is filed under the name uncultured Bacteroidales bacterium. Its description in RNAcentral is "partial 16S ribosomal RNA". It matches the Rfam family "Bacterial small subunit ribosomal RNA", at positions 524 to 776 of the family's 1533-position model. Lineage: Bacteria; Pseudomonadati; Bacteroidota; Bacteroidia; Bacteroidales. The record is from RNAcentral.
UACGGAGGAUGCGAGCGUUAUCCGGAUUUAUUGGGUUUAAAGGGUGCGUAGGCGGAGUGUCAAGUCAGCGGUAAAAUUUCGGGGCUCAACCCCGUCGUGCCGUUGAAACUGGGGAUCUAGAGUGUGCGAGAGGUAUGCGGAAUGCGUGGUGUAGCGGUGAAAUGCAUAGAUAUCACGCAGAACCCCGAUUGCGAAGGCAGCAUACCGGCGCCCUACUGACGCUGAGGCACGAAAGUGCGGGUAUCGAACAGG